UGGGGAAUAUUGGACAAUGGGCGCAAGCCUGAUCCAGCAAUGCCGCGUGAGUGAUGAAGGCCUUAGGGUUGUAAAGCUCUUUCGCACGCGACGAUGAUGACGGUAGCGUGAGAAGAAGCCCCGGCUAACUUCGUGCCAGCAGCCGCGGUAAUACGAAGGGGGCUAGCGUUGUUCGGAAUUACUGGGCGUAAAGGGCGCGUAGGCGGCCUGUUUAGUCAGAAGUGAAAGCCCCGGGCUCAACCUGGGAAUAGCUUUUGAUACUGGCAGGCUUGAGUUCCGGAGAGGAUGGUGGAAUUCCCAGUGUAGAGGUGAAAUUCGUAGAUAUUGGGAAGAACACCGGUGGCGAAGGCGGCCAUCUGGACGGACACUGACGCUGAGGCGCGAAAGCGUGGGGAGCAAACAGAUUAGAUACCCUGGUAGUCCACGCCGUAAACGAUGAAUGCUAGACGUCGGGGUGCAUGCACUUCGGUGUCGCCGCUAACGCAUUAAGCAUUCCGCCUGGGGAGUACGGCCGCAAGGUUAAAACUCAAAGGAAUUGACGGGGUCAA
RNAcentral lists this ribosomal RNA (548 nucleotides) under uncultured bacterium. RNAcentral's name for it is "partial 16S ribosomal RNA". It matches the Rfam family "Bacterial small subunit ribosomal RNA", at positions 355 to 922 of the family's 1533-position model. The record is from RNAcentral.